RNAcentral lists this ribosomal RNA (253 nucleotides) under uncultured bacterium. Its description in RNAcentral is "partial 16S ribosomal RNA". It matches the Rfam family "Bacterial small subunit ribosomal RNA", at positions 524 to 776 of the family's 1533-position model. The record is from RNAcentral.
UACGGGGGGGGCAAGCGUUGUUCGGAAUUACUGGGCGUAAAGGGCUCGUAGGCGGCCAACUAAGUCAGACGUGAAAUCCCCAGGCUCAACCUGGGAACUGCGUCUGAUACUGGAUGGCUUGAAUCCGGGAGAGGGAUGCAGAAUUCCAGGUGUAGCGGUGAAAUGCGUAGAUAUUCGGAAGAACACCAGUGGCGAAGGCGGCUCACUGGACUGGUAUUGACGCUGAGGUGCGAAGGCGUGGGGAGCAAACAGG